RNAcentral lists this ribosomal RNA (420 nucleotides) under bacterium. RNAcentral describes it as "partial 16S ribosomal RNA". It matches the Rfam family "Bacterial small subunit ribosomal RNA", at positions 355 to 776 of the family's 1533-position model. The record is from RNAcentral.
UGGGGGAUAUUGCACAAUGGGCGAAAGCCUGAUGCAGCGACGCCGCGUGGGGGAUGAAGGCUUUCGGGUUGUAAACCUCUUUCGCUAUCGAACAAGGCCCGCUUAGGGUGGGUUGAGGGUAGGUGGAGAAGAAGCGCCGGCUAACUACGUGCCAGCAGCCGCGGUAAUACGUAGGGCGCGAGAGUUGUCCGGAAUUAUUGGGCGUAAAGGGCUUGUAGGCGGCUUGUUGCGCCUGCUGUGAAAACGCGGGGCUUAACUUCGCGCGUGCAGUGGGUACGGGCAGGCUUGAGUGUGGUAGGGGUGACUGGAAUUCCAGGUGUAGCGGUGGAAUGCGCAGAUAUCUGGAGGAACACCGAUGGCGAAGGCAGGUCACUGGGCCAUUACUGACGCUGAGGAGCGAAAGCAUGGGUAGCGAACAGG